This 456-nucleotide ribosomal RNA is filed under the name uncultured bacterium. RNAcentral describes it as "bacterial SSU rRNA". It matches the Rfam family "Bacterial small subunit ribosomal RNA", at positions 28 to 480 of the family's 1533-position model. The record is from RNAcentral.
GAUGAACGCUAGCGGCAGGCUUAAUACAUGCAAGUCGAGGGGCAGCGCAGUGUAGCAAUACAUGGGCGGCGACCGGCAAACGGGUGCGGAACACGUACGCAAUCUACCCAAAACUGAUGAAUAGCCCUCCGAAAGGAGGAUUAAUACAUCGUAACUUAAUGAAGUGGCAUCGCUUUAUUAAUAUAGCUCCGGCGGUUUUGGAUGAGCGUGCGCCUGANAGGUAGUUGGCGGGGUAACGGCCCACCAAGCCUGCGAUCAGUAACUGGUGUGAGAGCACGACCAGUCACACGGGCACUGAGACACGGGCCCGACUCCUACGGGAGGCAGCAGUAAGGAAUAUUGGUCAAUGGACGCAAGUCUGAACCAGCCAUGCCGCGUGGAGGAUGAAGGUCCUCUGGAUUGUAAACUUCUUUUAUGUGGACGAAACCUCUUAUUCUUAAGAGACUGACGGUACCA